UGGGAUGCUGCUUAGUAGUAAGAGCACUUGUCUAGCAUGCCUCAGGUCCUGGGUUCAAUUCCCAGCAUCACAA
Fukomys damarensis (Damara mole-rat) is the source of this 73-nucleotide non-coding RNA. The record is from Rfam. Lineage: Eukaryota; Metazoa; Chordata; Mammalia; Rodentia; Bathyergidae.